Molecule: long non-coding RNA, 1355 nt
Filed under: Pan paniscus (pygmy chimpanzee)
Lineage: Eukaryota; Metazoa; Chordata; Mammalia; Primates; Hominidae
Description: lncRNA (ENSPPAG00000044404.1)
Source: RNAcentral
AAGGGUUUAUUUUGUGAAACCUGUAUUUCUUUUUUUUCAGUGUAUUUCUGUCAUGUUCCAGUCCCCAGACACAAAAAUCAAAGCCUAUACUAAUACAGGCAGGAGGAUACAGCUUGAUGCUAACACUUCAUGAAUGUAUAGAUAACUUUAUCAUAUUUACAUAUGAGUGAUUAUGUAUCCCUUUUGCUUUUCAGUGUCUUCUCAGAAACAACCACCCUCAAAGGCUGCAAGUGACAAGACAGAUUCUGCUUUGAAUAUAGCUACAGAAAUAAAGGAUGGACUACAAUGUGGGACAGUGUCUUCUCAGAAACAACCAGCCUUGAAGGUAAUUAAACUCUCAUUUAUAUUGUGAACUAGUAAAUCUAUAGUCUAUGAAACAUACUUCAUUUACUUAUUUAUUUAUUAUUUUCUUUCAAAUUCAAUUCAGGCUACAACUGACGAGGAAGGUUCUGUUUCGAAUAUAGCCACAGAAAUAAAGGAUGGAGAAAAAUCUGGGACAGGUAAUUUUGCAAAACACAUUCAAUGUCAUGUUCAAUCCAGAUAGAAAAGAACUUCUCUACAUCUAAUAAAUCAGCGCAGGGCGGGUGGGGGGCUCGCCGAAGCUGCACAUUCUGAUCCAGCAGGUCUGAGAGUCUUCAUUUGUAAUAAAUUAUUGGGUGACGCUAAUGCUGCUGGCUUGGAACGUGAUCUUCGCAGUAAGAUUAUACACUUCCCCACAUUGAAAUUGGGAAGAAGAAAUAUUGGAGAGAGGUUCAAGACAUAAGGGGCUCUGGGGAACAGCAUAGUUUUGCUUUAAUUCUACACCGUGGUUUCACUAAGGGUGGAAGGAGAAAGAGAGGAAGUAUAGAUUUUACAGACGUCACAUCGUACUGCAAAGAAAAGACAGAAAACUGAUAGUAAUAACCCAUAGACACUGUAGCACGAGAACUAAGGAGACCCCUGAUGUAGCAAUUAUUUUCCCAAGGACGAGGGAUUGUCAGGCAGGAAGGAGGGAAAAGAAGUUAUUUAUAUAAUUUAGGGGUUUCUGCUGAGAAAAUCUGAGUGAACUCACUUCACAUGCAUUUGGAAUAUGUGCUUAAAAAAUAUUAGAUUUUGGCAGCUCCAGGAACUAUUGGAAGCAGGAAACAAUGCUAGAAUUGGGAUAAAGCACACUGACUCAUUACUCCUUUUUGUUACUAUUAGGCAUCAGAGAUACAUGUUUUGUUGAUUUUAGUUAUAAAAAUGAGAUAAACUUGAAUAUGAAUACAUUGGCUUCCUUGUUCCAGGAGCUACCUCUUGGAUAAAAUAGCUAUUUCACGAAACUUCUUUAGAGACUAACAUGAUACUCCCAAGAAGGCUAUUUUAGAAACAAAAUU